ACAUGCAGUCGAGGGGCAGCACAUAGUAGCAAUACUUGGUGGCGACCGGCGCACGGGUGAGUAACACGUAUGCAACCUACCUGUAAGAGGGGAAUAACCCGGAGAAAUUCGGACUAAUACCGCAUAAUACCGCGAGACUGCAUGGUCUUGCGUUUAAACAUUUAUGGCUUACAGAUGGGCAUGCGUAUGAUUAGAUAGUUGGUAGGGUAACGGCCUACCAAGUCAACGAUCAUUAGGGGUUCUGAGAGGAAGGUCCCCCACACUGGUACUGAGACACGGACCAGACUCCUACGGGAGGCAGCAGUGAGGAAUAUUGGUCAAUGGGCGAGAGCCUGAACCAGCCAAGUCGCGUGAAGGAAGAAGGUUCUAUGGAUUGUAAACUUCUUUUGUAAGGGAAUAAAAAGAGUUACGUGUAACUUAUUGUAUGUACUUUACGAAUAAGGAUCGGCUAACUCCGUGCCAGCAGCCGCGGUAAUACGGAGGAUCCAAGCGUUAUCCGGAUUUAUUGGGUUUAAAGGGUGCGUAGGCGGACCCUUAAGUCAGUGGUGAAAGUUUGCGGCUCAACCGUAAAAUUGCCAUUGAAACUGAGGGUCUUGAGUGUAAAUGAGGUAGGCGGAAUGUGUUGUGUAGCUGUGAAAUGCUUAGAUAUAACACAGAACACCAAUUGCGAAGGCAGCUUACUGGGAUACAACUGACGCUGAGGCACGAAAGCGUGGGGAUCAAACAGGAUUAGAUACCCUGGUAGUCCACGCAGUAAACGAUGAAUACUAGCUGUAUGCGAUAUACUGUAUGUGGCAAAGCGAAAGCGUUAA
Molecule: ribosomal RNA, 812 nt
Filed under: uncultured bacterium
Lineage: Bacteria
Description: SSU rRNA
Rfam family: Bacterial small subunit ribosomal RNA
Source: RNAcentral